AUACGUAGGUGGCGAGCGUUAUCCGGAUUUACUGGGUGUAAAGGGCGCGUAGGCGGGAAUGCAAGUCAGGUGUGAAAUCUAGGGGCUCAACCCCUAAACUGCACUUGAAACUGCGUUUCUUGAGUGUCGGAGAGGUUGACGGAAUUCCUAGUGUAGCGGUGAAAUGCGUAGAUAUUAGGAGGAACACCAGUGGCGAAGGCGGUCAACUGGACGAUAACUGACGCUGAGGCGCGAAAGCGUGGGGAGCAAACAGGAUUAGAUCCCCUGGUAGUCCACGCCGUAAACGAUGAAUACUAGGUGUGGGGGGACUGACCCCCUCCGUGCCGCAGUUAACACAAUAAGUAUUCCACCUGGGGAGUACGGCCGCAAGGUUGAAACUCAAAUGAAUUGACGGGG
This 396-nucleotide ribosomal RNA is filed under the name uncultured bacterium. RNAcentral's name for it is "partial 16S ribosomal RNA". It matches the Rfam family "Bacterial small subunit ribosomal RNA", at positions 523 to 918 of the family's 1533-position model. The record is from RNAcentral.